GCAAAUUACCCACUCCCGGCACGGGGAGGUAGUGACGAAAAAUAACGAUACGGGACUCAUCCGAGGCCCCGUAAUCGGAAUGAGCACACUUUAAAUCCUUUAACAGUAUCCAUUGGAGGGCAAGUCUGGUGCCAGCAGCCGCGGUAAUUCCAGCUCCAAUAGCGUAUAUUAAAGUUGUUGCGGUUAAAAAGCUCGUAGUCGGACUUGUGUCACACGCUGCCGGUUCACCGCCCGUCGGUGUUUAACUGGCAUGCACGUGCUGACGUCCUGCCGGUGGCCCAAGCCGGUCCGGGAGCUCUUGGUGCGGGAUUCCCUUCGGGGGCCCUGCCUCGAACCCGGUCUCUGGGGAGGGCCUACUCAUACCCCUCGUGGUGCUCUUAACCGAGUGUCUCGAUGGGCCGGCACGUUUACUUUGAACAAAUUAGAGUGCUUAAAGCAGGCAGCAUCCGCCUGAAUACUGAGUGCAUGGAAUAAUGGAAUAGGACCUCGGUUCUAUUUUGUUGGUUUUCGGAAUCCCCGAGGUAAUGAUCAAUAGGGACAGACGGGGGCAUUCGUAUUGCGACGUUAGAGGUGAAAUUCUUGGAUCGUCGCAAGACGGACCGAAGCGAAAGCAUUUGCCAAGAAUGUUUUCUCUGAUCAAGAACGAAAGUUAGAGGUUCGAAGGCGAUCAGAUACCGCCCUAGUUCUAACCAUAAACGAUGCCAGCCAGCAAUCCGCCGAAGUUCCUCCGAUGACUCGGCGGGCGGCUUCCGGGAAACCAAAGCUUUUGGGUUCCGGGGGAAGUAUGGUUGCAAAGCUGAAACUUAAAGGAAUUGACGGAAGGGCACCACCAGGAGUGGAGCCUGCGGCUUAAUUUGACUCAACACGGGAAACCUCACCAGGCCCGGACACCGGGAGGAUUGACAGAUUGAGAGCUCUUUCUUGAUUCGGUGGGUGGUGGUGCAUGGCCGUUCUUAGUUGGU
Molecule: ribosomal RNA, 962 nt
Filed under: Salganea gressitti
Lineage: Eukaryota; Metazoa; Arthropoda; Insecta; Blattodea; Blaberidae
Description: SSU rRNA
Rfam family: Eukaryotic small subunit ribosomal RNA
Source: RNAcentral